CAUAAUUUAUCUUUUCAGAGAGAAGAAAACUGACUUUAAAAGAAAACUGGUGAGAUUAAAUCAUAUGAAAUGUAUGAUGAAUCAGGAUGUAAUCAUUUGAGGCAUUCACCAAUGUCAUUACUAAUGACAAACAGGAGAAACGGAGACGGGAGAAUGGAAAGACUGAUCUUCUCAGACAGCAGUCAAAAAAGCAAAAGAAAGCGUUCAGUAAAAACUGGAAAGAAGAAAGAAGGCUGUGGAACAUCUUAAGUUAUCUACAUGAGUCAUUGCCCCAACAUCUAAAAAGAACUUGACGGAGUGCCUUCAAUUGGACAUAACUUCACCCGAGAAGACUGAUGACAAAAACUCAACAAAGAGGGUCAGGCUUCCAUUUCCCUGGAAAUCAGCCAAACUGUGCAAGGGAAAAGAGGCACUGGACAAGGCAUAUAGACACAAGGUCCUGAAGACCGAAUCUGCAGAUGCCAGUUGGUAUUUGUAAAGGAUGGUAGAGAGGACACAACAACACCUCCCACUGAGAAGUGUCCCCUUUAGGCCAUUUCCAGGGAUUAUUCCUCAUAGAGGUCAAACGAGGAUUCAGCUAUCAAAAGAAAACAAGAAAAAGAACUUUUUUAGUUCUUUGAUUAGGGAUUUCCAGAUCUAAAUAUUGAUAGUUGUUUUGGUUUUUUUUAAUGUACCUGUAAUCAACAGUUCAGGGUAUAUAGUUUUUGCAUUGUUGGUCUGUCUGUCUUCAAAAGUGUAAACCAGGCCUAAAGCUUUUGAGUGAUGGGGCAACUGAUUUCACAGACGUAUUUUUAGUGACCAGACUUGUUUACCUCUUUACAUGGACCUUUGAGUUUCAACCACUUUUAACAAAAAAAUUAAACUGUAUUCUUGGCCACAACUUUCAAAUAGUUGAUGCUUAUUGCAUUCCAUUUGACAAGACUUUCAACAGGUAUAAAUAUUUUUUGACAUUGACCUUCAAGUUGGACUUUUAAAAUAUUUUAACCUUGGACAGAACUUUUAAAAGUACUAAGGCUUUCAUUUCAACAGUGAAAAAACCUUUCUCUCGAUACCAACAUUUUUUACCUUGACCUUU
Long non-coding RNA from Saccostrea cuccullata (small rock oyster), 1075 nucleotides. RefSeq lists it as uncharacterized. Lineage: Eukaryota; Metazoa; Mollusca; Bivalvia; Ostreida; Ostreidae. The transcript is spliced from 4 exons. The record is from RefSeq and is a predicted model, not a curated record.